Marmota flaviventris (yellow-bellied marmot) is the source of this 502-nucleotide long non-coding RNA. RefSeq lists it as uncharacterized. The record is from RefSeq and is a predicted model, not a curated record. NCBI's taxonomy places the organism in Eukaryota, Metazoa, Chordata, Mammalia, Rodentia, Sciuridae.
GCUCGGCGCACGAAAGCGUGAAGCGCAGCCGCAGGCGCCCGUCCACCAGCAGCAGCUCCAAAAAGUCGCAGUCGCCGCCGUCGUCCAGGACUUGAGCUGGCCCUGACCUGGAGAGUGUCUUGAAGCAAGAAACAUAAUCGCGGAUGGAAGCACUGGGAACCCAACACUUGGGGAGAUACAGCACCCGGAAGGGACAUUAUUGGCUUGAGAUGUGGACGGGUGGGAAAGUGACACCUUGGAAUUCAGUAGGAGUCCAAUCCUGCUGGCCUCACACUGACCCCUCAAAAGACCCAGGCGUCAGGACCAAGGCCAGCUCCUGGGAGUGAGACCUAGGAUCUCUCCAACAGGUGACCCCACCCCCUUCUUUUUUAAAUCACCCAACCUCUGUGCGGUGGCUCCCACCUCUAGCCAGGGAUCACUCGCUCUCUCUCAUCAGCUCUUGAUGCUGGAUAAUGAAGUUGCUAAAUAAUUCAUUGAGAUUAAUUAAAUGCCAAUUCGUCAA